This 1468-nucleotide ribosomal RNA is filed under the name uncultured bacterium. RNAcentral's name for it is "bacterial SSU rRNA". It matches the Rfam family "Bacterial small subunit ribosomal RNA". The record is from RNAcentral.
GACGAACGCUGGCGGCGUGCCUAACACAUGCAAGUCGAGGGGCACUAGUGUAGCAAUACGUUAGUGUCACUGGCGCACGGGUGCGUAACGCGUAGGCAAUAUGCCUUCAGGAUCGGGAUAACCCCGAGAAAUCGGGACUAAUACCGAGCGAUGCAGCGGCACCGCAUGGUGACAGUUGUUAAAGUCCCGACGCAAGUCGGGAUGCCUGAAGAUUAGCCUGCGUCCUAUCAGGUAGUUGGUGAGGUAACGGCUCACCAAGCCUACGACGGGUAGCUGGCCUGAGAGGGUGGUCAGCCACACUGGAACUGAGACACGGUCCAGACUCCUACGGGAGGCAGCAGUGAGGAAUAUUGCUCAAUGCCCGAAAGGGUGAAGCAGCGACGCCGCGUGAGGGAUGAAGGCCCUAUGGGUUGUAAACCUCUGUAGGGAGGGAAGAAAAUGGUGCUAUGCGCCACUGACGGUACCUCCAAAGUAAGCCCCGGCCGACUACGUGCCAGCAGCCGCGGUAAUACGUAGGGGGCGAGCGUUGUCCGGAAUCACUGGGUGUAAAGGGUCUGCAAGCGGACCUGCAAGUCAGAGGUGAAAUCCUACAGCUCAACUGUAGAACUGCCUUUGAAACUGUUGGUCUUGAGUCCGGGAGAGGAUGGCGGAAUUCCUGGUGUAGCGGUGAAAUGCGUAGAUAUCAGGAAGAACACCGGUGGUGAAGACGGCCAUCUGGACCGGUACUGACGCUCAGAGACGAAAGCGUGGGUAGCAAACAGGAUUAGAUACCCUGGUAGUCCACGCCCUAAACUAUGGGUACUAGGUGUCGGGUUUUUGCUCGGUGCCGCAGCCAACGCAUUAAGUACCUCACCUGGGGAGUACGAUCGCAAGGUUGAAACUCAAAGGAAUUGACGGGGGCCCGCACAAGCAGUGGAGCAUGUGGUUUAAUUCGAUGCAACGCGAAGAACCUUACCUGGGCUUGAAAGGCCAGUAGUAGGAUCCUGAAAGGGAAACGACUCGUAAAGCCGAGAGCUGGUACAGGUGCUGCAUGGCUGUCGUCAGCUCGUGCCGUGAGGUGUUAGGUUAAGUCCUGCAACGAGCGCAACCCCUGCCAUUAGUUGCCAUCAGGUAAAGCUGGGCACUCUAAUGGGACUGCCUGCGCAAGCAGUGAGGAAGGUGGGGAUGACGUCAAGUCCUCAUGGCCCUUACGUCCAGGGCUACACACGUGCUACAAUGGUCAUUACAACGGGUUGCAAAACCGCGAGGUGAAGCCAAUCCCUGAAAAAUGACCUCAGUUCGGAUUGCAGUCUGAAACCCGACUGCAUGAAGCUGGAAUUGCUAGUAAUCGCGCAUCAGCACGGCGCGGUGAAUACGUUCCCGGGCCUUGUACACACCGCCCGUCACGCCAUGGAAGCCGAGAGCACCCGAAGUCGCCAUGCUAACCGCAAGGAAGCAGGUGCCUAAGGUGAAAUCGGUGACUGGGGCG